UACAUUAAAAUGUUUAUGCAUGUAAAUUUUUGAAAUUUAAAGAUUUAAUUUAAAAUUAAAUAAUGUAA
Molecule: transfer RNA, 68 nt
Filed under: Mycopsylla fici
Lineage: Eukaryota; Metazoa; Arthropoda; Insecta; Hemiptera; Carsidaridae
Description: tRNA-Gln
Source: RNAcentral